AUUGAACGCUGGCGGCAGGCCUAACACAUGCAAGUCGAGCGGAAACGAUGGUAGCUUGCUACCAGGCGUCGAGCGGCGGACGGGUGAGUAACGCGUGAGAAUCUGCCCAUUUGUGGGGGAUAACUCGGGGAAACUCGAGCUAAUACCGCAUAAUCCCUACGGGGGAAAGCAGGGGACCUUCGGGCCUUGUGCAGAUGGAUGAGCUCGCGUCGGAUUAGCUUGUUGGUGAGGUAAAGGCUCACCAAGGCGACGAUCCGUAGCUGGUCUGAGAGGAUGAUCAGCCACACCGGGACUGAGACACGGCCCGGACUCCUACGGGAGGCAGCAGUGGGGAAUCUUGGACAAUGGGGGCAACCCUGAUCCAGCCAUGCCGCGUGUGUGAAGAAGGCCUUCGGGUUGUAAAGCACUUUCAGUAGGGAGGAAGGCUUACCGCUAAUAACGGUGAGUACUUGACGUUACCUACAGAAGAAGCACCGGCUAAUUUCGUGC
RNAcentral lists this ribosomal RNA (489 nucleotides) under uncultured microorganism. RNAcentral's name for it is "bacterial SSU rRNA". It matches the Rfam family "Bacterial small subunit ribosomal RNA", at positions 30 to 508 of the family's 1533-position model. The record is from RNAcentral.